GACGAACGCUGGCGGCGUGCCUAAUACAUGCAAGUCGAGCGAAGGUUUUCUGGUGCUUGCACUAGAAAAACUUAGCGGCGAACGGGUGAGUAACACGUAAAGAACCUGCCUCAUAGACUGGGACAACUAUUGGAAACGAUAGCUAAUACCGGAUAACAGUAUUUCUCGCAUGAGAGAUAUUUAAAAGUUGGUUAUGCUAACACUAUGAGAUGGCUUUGCGGUGCAUUAGCUAGUUGGUGGGGUAAAGGCCCACCAAGGCGACGAUGCAUAGCCGACCUGAGAGGGUGAUCGGCCACACUGGGACUGAGACACGGCCCAGACUCCUACGGGAAGCAGCAGUAGGGAAUCUUCCGCAAUGGGCGAAAGCCUGACGGAGCAACGCCGCGUGAGUGAAGAAGGAUUUCGGUUCGUAAAGCUCUGUUGUUAGGGAAGAAUGGAUAUGUAGUAACUAGACAUGUAUGUGACGGUACCUAACCAGAAAGCCACGGCUAACUACGUG
RNAcentral lists this ribosomal RNA (499 nucleotides) under uncultured bacterium. RNAcentral's name for it is "partial 16S ribosomal RNA". It matches the Rfam family "Bacterial small subunit ribosomal RNA", at positions 28 to 507 of the family's 1533-position model. The record is from RNAcentral.